CCUACGGGAGGCAGCAGUGAGGAAUUUUCCGCAAUGGGCGAAAGCCUGACGGAGCAAUACCGCGUGAGGGAUGAAGGAUUUUGGUCUGUAAACCUCUUUUCUCAAGAAAGAAGUUCUGACGGUACUUGAGGAAUAAGCAUCGGCUAACUCCGUGCCAGCAGCCGCGGUAAUACGGGGGAUGCAAGCGUUAUCCGGAAUGAUUGGGCGUAAAGCGCCUGUAGGUUGUUUAUUAAGUCCGUUGUUAAAGCCUAGGGCUUAACCCUAGAAAAGCAAUGGAAACUAGUAGACUAGAGUAUGGCAGGGGUAGAGGGAAUUUCUAGUGUAGCGGUGAAAUGCGUAGAUAUUAGAAAGAACACCGGUGGCGAAAGCGCUCUACUGGACCAUUACUGACACUCAGAGGCGAAAGCUAGGGUAGCAAAAGGGAUUAGAUACCCCUGUAGUCCUAGCCGUAAACGAUGGAUACUAGAUGUUGUGCAUUAUGUACAGUAUCGUAGCUAACGCGUUAAGUAUCCCGCCUGGGGAGUACGCUCGCAAGGGUGAAACUCAAGGAAUUGACGG
RNAcentral lists this ribosomal RNA (558 nucleotides) under uncultured bacterium. Its description in RNAcentral is "bacterial SSU rRNA". It matches the Rfam family "Bacterial small subunit ribosomal RNA", at positions 338 to 916 of the family's 1533-position model. The record is from RNAcentral.